RNAcentral lists this ribosomal RNA (823 nucleotides) under Bacillus spizizenii. RNAcentral describes it as "bacterial SSU rRNA". It matches the Rfam family "Bacterial small subunit ribosomal RNA", at positions 107 to 914 of the family's 1533-position model. Lineage: Bacteria; Bacillati; Bacillota; Bacilli; Caryophanales; Bacillaceae. The record is from RNAcentral.
UGAGUAACACGUGGGUAACCUGCCUGUAAGACUGGGAUAACUCCGGGAAACCGGGGCUAAUACCGGAUGCUUGUUUGAACCGCAUGGUUCAAACAUAAAAGGUGGCUUCGGCUACCACUUACAGAUGGACCCGCGCCGCAUUAGCUAGUUGAUGAGGUAAUGGCUCACCAAGGCGACGAUGCGUAGCCGACCUGAGAGGGUGAUCGGAGACACUGGGACUGAGACACGGCCCAGACUCAUACGGGAGGCAGCAGUAGGGAAUCUUCCGCAAUGGACGAAAGUCUGACGGAGCAACGCCGCGUGAGUGAUGAAGGUUUUCGGAUCGUAAAGCUCUGUUGUUAGGGAAGAACAAGUACCGUUCGAAUAGGGCGGUACCUUGACGGUACCUAACCAGAAAGCCACGGCUAACUACGUGACAGCAGCCGCGGUAAUACGUAGGUGGCAAGCGUUGUCCGGAAUUAUUGGGCGUAAAGGGCUCGCAGGCGGUUUCUUAAGUCUGAUGUGAAAGCCCCCGGCUCAACCGGGGAGGGUCAUUGGAAACUGGGGAACUUGAGUGCAGAAGAGGAGAGUGGAAUUCCACGUGUAGCGGUGAAAUGCGUAGAGAUGUGGAGGAACACCAGUGGCGAAGGCGACUCUCUGGUCUGUAACUGACGCUGAGGAGCGAAAGCGUGGGGAGCGAACAGGAUUAGAUACCCUGGUAGUCCACGCCGUAAACGAUGAGUGCUAAGUGUUAGGGGGUUUCCGCCCCUUAGUGCUGCAGCUAACGCAUUAAGCACUCCGCCUGGGGAGUACGGUCGCAAGACUGAAACUCAAAGGAAUUGAC